UCCUCCUUACAGAGGCAGUUUCGUCCGAGUCCCCGGCAUGACCCGCUGGUAACAGACAAUGAGGGUUGCGCUCGUUGCGGGACUUAACCCAACAUUUCACAACACGAGCUGACGACAGCCAUGCACCACCUGUGCUACACCCUCGAAGGCGACCGGCUUUCACCGGCUUGCAGUAGCAUGUCAAGCCCUGGUAAGGUUCUUCGCGUUGCAUCGAAUUAAGCCACAUGCUCCACCGCUUGUGCGGGCCCCCGCCAAUUCCUUUGAGUUUCAACCUUGCGGCCGUAGUCCCCAGGCGGUUCACUUAAUGCGUUAGCUGCGGCACCGAGGGUUACCCCCCGACACCUAGUGAACAUCGUUUAGGGCCAAGAAUAC
RNAcentral lists this unclassified non-coding RNA (372 nucleotides) under uncultured bacterium. Its description in RNAcentral is "contains 16S-23S intergenic spacer region". The record is from RNAcentral.